GGAGUUAGCCGGUGCUUCUUCUGUGAGUGAUGUCCUUCCUGCCGGCUAUUAACCCGCAGGCCUUCUUCCUCACUGAAAGUGCUUUACAACCCGAAGGCCUUCUUCACACACGCGGAAUGGCUGGAUCAGGGUUGCCCCCAUUGUCCAAUAUUCCCCACUGCUGCCUCCCGUAGGAGUCUGGGCCGUGUCUCAGUCCCAGUGUGGCUGAUCAUCCUCUCAGACCAGCUACGGAUCGUCGCCUUGGUGAGCCGUUACCUCACCAACCAGCUAAUCCGACAUAGGCUCAUCCGAUAGCGCGAGGCCCGAAGGUCCCCCGCUUUCCCCCGUAGGGCGUAUGCGGUAUUAGCCUGGGUUUCCCCAGGUUAUCCCCCACUACCGGGCAGAUUCCUAUGCAUUACUCACCCGUCCGCCGCUCGCCACCAGGGAGCAAGCUCCCCGUGCUGCCGCUCGACUUGCAUGUGUUAGGCCUGCCGCCAGCGUUCAAUCUGAGCCAGGAUCAAACUCUGA
RNAcentral lists this ribosomal RNA (507 nucleotides) under uncultured bacterium. RNAcentral's name for it is "partial 16S ribosomal RNA". The record is from RNAcentral.